RNAcentral lists this ribosomal RNA (253 nucleotides) under uncultured bacterium. RNAcentral describes it as "partial 16S ribosomal RNA". It matches the Rfam family "Bacterial small subunit ribosomal RNA", at positions 524 to 776 of the family's 1533-position model. The record is from RNAcentral.
UACGUAGGGUGCGAGCGUUGUCCGGAAUUACUGGGCGUAAAGAGCUCGUAGGUGGUUUGUCGCGUUGUCCGUGAAAACUCACAACUCAAUUGUGGGCGUGCGGGCGAUACGGGCAGACUGGAGUACUGCAGGGGAGACUGGAAUUCCUGGUGUAGCGGUGGAAUGCGCAGAUAUCAGGAGGAGCACCGGUGGCGAAGGCGGUUCUCUGGGCAUUACCUGACGCUGAGGAGCGAAAGUGUGGGGAGCGAACAGG